RNAcentral lists this ribosomal RNA (495 nucleotides) under uncultured bacterium. RNAcentral's name for it is "bacterial SSU rRNA". It matches the Rfam family "Bacterial small subunit ribosomal RNA", at positions 28 to 521 of the family's 1533-position model. The record is from RNAcentral.
GAUGAACGCUAGCGGCAGGCCUAAUACAUGCAAGUCGAACGGUAAGGCCCUUUCGGGGGUACACGAGUGGCGGACGGGUGCGUAACGCGUAUGCAACAUGCCUUCCAGCGGGGGAUAUACCAGGGAAACUUGGCGCAAUACCCCAUAGAAUUACGGGACCGCAUGGUCUUGUGAUUAAAACUCCGGUGCUGGGAGAUUGGCAUGCGUGACAUUAGCUAGUUGGCGGGGUAACGGCCCACCAAGGCGACGAUCGGUAGGGGGUGUGAGAGCAUGGCCCCCCACACGGGUACUGAGACACGGACCCGACUCCUACGGGAGGCAGCAGUAAGGAAUAUUGGACAAUGGACGGAAGUCUGAUCCAGCCAUGCCGCGUGAAGGAAGAAGGCGCUCAGCGUUGUAAACUUCUUUUGGAUGGGAAUAAUAAUGUCGACGUGCUCGGCACUUGAAGGUACCAUCAGAAUAAGCACCGGCUAACUCCGUGCCAGCAGCCGCGGU